This 497-nucleotide ribosomal RNA is filed under the name uncultured bacterium. RNAcentral's name for it is "partial 16S ribosomal RNA". It matches the Rfam family "Bacterial small subunit ribosomal RNA", at positions 28 to 507 of the family's 1533-position model. The record is from RNAcentral.
GAUGAACGCUGGCGGCGUGCCUAAUACAUGCAAGUCGAGCGAACAGACGAGGAGCUUGCUCCUCUGACGUUAGCGGCGGACGGGUGAGUAACACGUGGAUAACCUACCUAUAAGACUGGGAUAACUUCGGGAAACCGGUGCUAAUACCGGAUAAUAUAUUGAACCGCAUGGUUCAAUAGUGAAAGACGGUUUUGCUGUCACUUAUAGAUGGAUCCGCGCCGCAGUAGCUAGUUGGUAAGGUAACGGCUUACCAAGGCGACGAUGCGUAGCCGACCUGAGAGGGUGAUCAGCCACACUGGAACUGAGACACGGUCCAGACUCCUACGGGAGGCAGCAGUAGGGAAUCUUCCGCAAUGGGCGAAAGCCUGACGGAGCAACGCCGCGUGAGUGAUGAAGGUCUUCGGAUCGUAAAACUCUGUUAUUAGGGAAGAACAAAUGUGUAAGUAACUAUGCACGUCUUGACGGUACCUAAUCAGAAAGCCACGGCUAACUACGUG